Long non-coding RNA from Marmota flaviventris (yellow-bellied marmot), 605 nucleotides. RefSeq lists it as uncharacterized. The record is from RefSeq and is a predicted model, not a curated record. Lineage: Eukaryota; Metazoa; Chordata; Mammalia; Rodentia; Sciuridae.
GCUGGGAUCCAUUGGUAUGAACACCCAGGCUGCUGGAAGCUUUGCUAACCAAGCACUUAAGGCAAGCCUGGGCUCCUCGGUGAUGCCAAAGGUGAAGGCCAUAACCACCGUUAAAAUCACACCAACACCAACUGGUAACAGACUUCAAGCAAGCUACAGACAGCCGAGGACUCCUCAUGUGAGCAGCAACAUACUGAAAUGCAGCCACAAGGACAAGCAACCAAAGGCCGUGGAACAUCUGCGUGCAUGUGAGGAGGGGACACUUCACCAAGGGCACAUGAUGGGUCCAGCACAAGAGUGCCCUGUCUGUGGCAGACAGUAAGUACCUGUGACCGAAGGGCCGUCCAGACUUUCAUACUCCUGGCAACAACCAACCCAGGAUCUGAAACAGCACCCUGAUUAAAGUGACAAUUUCCCCAAGACACUAAAGCAUUAAACUAAGUGACAAGCUCAUCACCUCCUCUCCAUGACAUGUAGGUGUUAUAAAAAAAAAGCUGUAGGGCUGAUGUGAGAUCCAUGAGGAAGGAAAGAGGGACAUCAUACACUGUACGACAGUCGACCCAGGGCUGCCUGAGCCAGCCUCUCUCCACUGCGGGGUGUGCUCA